RNAcentral lists this ribosomal RNA (459 nucleotides) under uncultured bacterium. RNAcentral describes it as "partial 16S ribosomal RNA". It matches the Rfam family "Bacterial small subunit ribosomal RNA", at positions 338 to 795 of the family's 1533-position model. The record is from RNAcentral.
CCUACGGGGGGCAGCAGUGAGGAAUAUUGGUCAAUGGCCGCAGGGCUGAACCAGCCAAGUCGCGUGAGGGAUGACGGUCCUAUGGAUUGUAAACCUCUUUUGUCAGGGAGCAAAGGGCGCCACGUGUGGCGCUUUGCGAGUACCUGAAGAAAAAGCAUCGGCUAACUCCGUGCCAGCAGCCGCGGUAAUACGGAGGAUGCGAGCGUUAUCCGGAUUUAUUGGGGUUAAAGGGUGCGCAGGCGGAAUGUCAAGUCAGCGGUAAAAUUUCGGGGCUCAACCCCGUCGUGCCGUUGAAACUGGCGUUCUUGAGUGAGCGAGAAGUAUGCGGAAUGCGUGGUGUAGCGGUGAAAUGCAUAGAUAUCACGCAGAACUCCGAUUGCGAAGGCAGCAUACCGGCGCUCAACUGACGCUCAUGCACGAAGGCGUGGGUAUCGAACAGGAUUAGAUACCCGGGUAGUC